CUACUCCCUGACGCACACAGCACAGAGCGGCUCCACCUUUUGUGAGUGUGUCUAUACACUCUCUCUCUGUGGAAAGAUUAACAGGCAAGUCGAAAGGCUGAUAUGACACUAUCCUUAACGCACUGUUGGCCUCAAAUCGGACAAUCCCGAGAUAGCAGGGGAUCAAACUGUCUCCAUGCAUCUCUUCCCCCUUUCCCAAUGUUAGCCAGACGCAUCUCCACCCAAUAGCAGCAGCAGCUAGAACAGGAGGGUACAUCUUCCAGAUCGCAUUCUCUUUCUCCAGAAUAUCUCACACACUCAAUGCUGACUCGCUCACGGUGAUGGGAUGAACUCAGGAGUGAUAUUGCACUUGUCUGUGAACGUUUCGUUUUAUUUCUGUUGGGGGCAAAAAAAAACAACCAGAACCAUAAUCAAAUGAUUGCAAUGCAGAAGAGGUGUCAGUAAGUGGUACCCUGGCCCACACGUGACUGAGCGGCACUGCCUCUGGGAGUCGGGAAGCAGAUGGUGCCAGAUGUGAUCGGAAUCCAUGAAGUAGCUGGAUCCUCAGAUCGACAGACUCUGGGCGGGAGGUCGUGAAUUGAAAUUCCAGCUUUCUCCGGUGUUUUUGAGUGCAUUUGUGUCUGCCAAUUAACCAGCUGCACAAUCUAUUUUCUGACUCCUAGCCUGACCAAAGCUACUAAUGGUAUUCCUGCCAACACUUUGGGGAGAGCUGGAUGAUUGGAGGUGAGGACACAAAACUGAGGAAUGGAGAGGCACCCUUAAUAAUGGGGAUCAAUGUAAAGAAACUGUCAACUUAAAAUAGUCACCUUUUUUUAUUCUCAUUUUACAUGCCAUACUUUUCGACAACUAGAUUGGGAGCUUUGGGUGACCACACAGUCCACUAACUCAGGCUCAGUGUCCUGUGAUUUGCCUUUUUCUUUUUGUGUGUGGGAGGGGGAAACAUCAUAAAAACUGAGCCACUGUUCGCAAAGUGUCAUGCAACAUUCCCACCAAUGGACCAUCAUCAUAACACACUGUGAAGCUCCCAUCCAUCCAAUGCUGGUGUAGGAUGGCAUAGGCAGAAACUGGAAUAUUGUUCGACAUUUCUUAGCCUUUCUAUCUCCUCUGUCUCUCCACUUGAAUAUUGCUGAGAAGGGAGGCAUACGGGUGAAUCUUUCCACCCCCACUGGUCAGGAUGAAUGCAAGAAUGCCAACUUUGAAAUAAUCCUCACGGUUUAUACUGUGGGAUCUUAGGGUUCUGAUUAGUUAGCCAGUCAUAACUGGCUGAGAUAUUGCCAAGGGGAAAGUAACAGAAUGAUUGGCUCCCCCAGUUCCUAGGUAAUGGAAAAAGUUCCAGACUUUAACCUAUGAUGGCUCAGUGGUUAGCACUGUAGCCUCAUGGUGCCAGGGACCUGGAUUUGAUUCCAGCCUUGGGUAA
Chiloscyllium plagiosum (whitespotted bambooshark) is the source of this 1417-nucleotide non-coding RNA. The record is from RefSeq and is a predicted model, not a curated record. NCBI's taxonomy places the organism in Eukaryota, Metazoa, Chordata, Chondrichthyes, Orectolobiformes, Hemiscylliidae.